Molecule: non-coding RNA, 82 nt
Organism: Oncorhynchus tshawytscha (Chinook salmon)
Lineage: Eukaryota; Metazoa; Chordata; Actinopteri; Salmoniformes; Salmonidae
Source: the annotation of a RefSeq genome assembly
GCUGUGAUGGCCGAGUGGUAAAGGUGUUGGACUUGAAUUCCAAUGCUGUCUCCCAGUGCAGGUUUGAACCCUACUCACAGUG